GAUAGCGGUGGCCAAGCGUUUAUAGCGACCUCGCUUUUUGAUCCUUCUAUGUCGGCUCUUCCUAUCAUUGUGAAGCAGAAUUCACCAAGCGUUUGAUUGUUCAACCACUAAUAGGGUUAAUAGGGAACGUGAGCUGGGUUUAGACCGUCGUGAGACAGGUU
Molecule: non-coding RNA, 161 nt
Filed under: Oryzias latipes (Japanese medaka)
Lineage: Eukaryota; Metazoa; Chordata; Actinopteri; Beloniformes; Adrianichthyidae
Description: Eukaryotic large subunit ribosomal RNA
Rfam family: Eukaryotic large subunit ribosomal RNA
Source: Rfam by way of RNAcentral